This 496-nucleotide ribosomal RNA is filed under the name uncultured bacterium. RNAcentral describes it as "partial 16S ribosomal RNA". It matches the Rfam family "Bacterial small subunit ribosomal RNA", at positions 29 to 507 of the family's 1533-position model. The record is from RNAcentral.
AUGCACGCUGGCGGCGUGCCUAAUACCUGCCAGUCGAGCGAACAGACGAGGAGCUUGCUCCUCUGACGUUAGCGGCGGACGGGUGAGUAACACGUGGAUAACCUACCUAUAAGACUGGGAUAACUUCGGGAAACCGGAGCUAAUACCGGAUAAUAUAUUGAACCGCAUGGUUCAAUAGUGAAAGACGGUUUUGCUGUCACUUAUAGAUGGAUCCGCGCCGCAUUAGCUAGUUGGUAAGGUAACGGCUUACCAAGGCAACGAUGCGUAGCCGACCUGAGAGGGUGAUCGGCCACACUGGAACUGAGACACGGUCCAGACUCCUACGGGAGGCAGCAGUAGGGAAUCUUCCGCAAAGGGCGAAAGCCUGACGGAGCAACGCCGCGUGAGUGAUGAAGGUCUUCGGAUCGUAAAACUCUGUUAUUAGGGAAGAACAAAUGUGUAAGUAACUAUGCACGUCUUGACGGUACCUAAUCAGAAAGCCACGGCUAACUACGUG